This 215-nucleotide long non-coding RNA is filed under the name Phascolarctos cinereus (koala). Its description in RNAcentral is "lncRNA (ENSPCIG00000000861.2)". Lineage: Eukaryota; Metazoa; Chordata; Mammalia; Diprotodontia; Phascolarctidae. The record is from RNAcentral.
AGCAAGGCAAAGGCUGAGAUGCGUCCAGCUGUGACACGGUAUGCGCCAGUCACAGCCCAGGCUGGGCGUCAGAGAAUGGGUGUAUAUUGGAGAUCAAGUCUACUAGAUCAUGUUUGUAUCCAUGAAAAAUUAAGAGAAAAGGAGCCACAUUUUGAGUUUGUAAGUAUGAAAUUAUGAAAUACCCAGAUUUGGGAAAAUGACAAUGGGGCAGGGUA